UAUGAGUAAGUGCAUGUAUGUGCAUGUGUGUUUAACUGUGUGUGUGUGUGUGUGUGUGUGUGUGUACAUAUGUAUAUGUUUCUCACCUCUUCUAUCUUGCGCUGCAUGUCCUGCAAUUGUUCCUCCCACUCCAGCAUCUCUGAGUCAAACUCAGGCCUCUCCCCCACCCACACACCACGCUGCAGGUCCAGGGCAGCCAUUCAGGUGUGUGUGAGUGUGUGUGUGUGUCUGUAUUAAUGUGUGUGUAUGUGUCUGUAUUAAUGUGUGUGUGUGUGUGUGUGUGUGUGUGUGUGUGUGUGAGAGAGAGAGGGUUUCUGUAUGAGUGUAUGUGUUAAGACAGUUAUUUCCUCAAUGCCUCUUCAAGUCAGAUGGAUUCAGUAAUGUGGUGCUUACGGGUUUGUGUGUGUGAGUGUUAGUGUGUGUAACCGAGUGAGUGUCUGUGUGUUUGUGUGUGUAUUACAGGGGUCUUGCUGUCCUAAGCUGUUGGCGCUGUCAAAGAGCACAAACAGGGAUGAUUAAAGGUCUACAAAACCAAGGGAGACAACAACAUAAAUCAGUCUCUUCUUAUUUGAGGGGGAAACACUGACCUAUACGCAUACUGUAUGAGAGGGAACUCAUGAACUUUAGCACCUAAUGUGUGAAAGAUGAUUUAUUUAGCGUCUCCAAGGUGCGUCAACGGAAAGCGUGACUUGGCUGCCGGGGGACCACAGUUGUCCCUGUUUCCCAAAUUGAUCACGCCCAUUUGUUACUGGCACUCAGUGAAAGGGGGAUUUCUGCCGUCACGUAACAUGACACCUGCAAGCUCUGGCUGCCUUUCCUCUAGAAAAUGCCCGAAUGUACCACUAUGCGUGAUGUAAGCGCGGAGAUAUUUUUACCCUAUGUAACUAUGGUUCUCAAGCUCUGCGCGCAUACUGGCACCAACAGAUCCAGAGAAGUAAAUAAACAUUACAUGAAAAUUAAUACAUCUCUUGAUUAAAGUGUUUCGAGUAAUCUUGUGAGAAUUAAUAUUUACCAUGCUUACAAAUUGUCAUAAUAUUUUCUACACGUAUGCUAAGGUGUCCUAAGGGGAUUACACAUCCUUCAGGCGCAUGGGUUAUCAUUACAACACACUGACAUAUAUGGAUUUGUGUCACUUAAAUGCAGGACAGAACUUGAUCCAAACGUAACCCUUUGACUUACCCUUGUUACGCUGUGUUGCCUCAACUAGUUCUGUGAUAUUCGUAGCAGUGUUUUGUGUGAAAAUAGUCCCAAGUUAUAAAGUAUACAAUACAAGUAUACUAGUAUACAAUAUUCCCCGAACACACUAAACAGCCUCCGUCACAGUCCUUGCGCUCUGCUCUGUCAUUUGGCUAUCCUCUUGGACAGCACGAGACUCUGAGAACGAAUUCCGUCCGGCUGGUGUCCCCUCUGUCCCGCUCUCGCUGCUCAGUUGUGACGUAGGGUUUUGAGGGAAGGACUUUUAAGUAGCCCAGGUACCGCCCCUUGUGGCAGGUGCCUCUUUUUUCGGGGUAAACAACUUCUGCCUCCAAGGGGCCCACCGGAGCUUACCCCACGCGACCACAGGAGCCGGGAUCGAGUGUCAUAAUGUCAGAUUUAUUCUGGCAUUUGCGACGAAUGGGCCGGGCUGUCGUCACUCCCACAUCGGGUUAUAAUUACUAUCAGACAAAGUGUUUAUAGAGCUAUUCCUGGUUCGAUAUCGCUCCGGGUACCGCCGCUGCUGCCCCGUUGUUGCUAUUCCUCUUUGGGAGCGCGGCAGAUUUGUAUCUUGUGACCUCUGCCUACUAGUUCUUGGCAUAUGGCAGCGCCCUUACUAGCAGAACCUUCGCAUCUCACGACGCGUGCAUAAUGUUUUAUUUCGGAGAAGCUUUCCAGAGAAUGCACGCAAGUCUAACUGCCAAACUGUCUUCAAAAUGUAAUGGGUUAGUUCUAUCACCAGCCAUAGUGUUUAUUUAUUUUGACACUUGUCAUCAUUGCGCAAUGUGCCCGUGCUUCAUUUAACCCUCGCGAACAGUGACCCAAAUAACUGACCAACCGCGCUGAGGACAGAGCCACGGAAGAAAAACAAGGAUGUUCAAACAGCCUCCAUCCUCACCCCACAAACGGCCAUGCGUCAGUGACGCAAUAAAAAUAAUCUGGAAUUUCGACGUAAACGCAAUUGGAACCCUCUCCUGUAUCAAUCACUAGGGGAAAGGUGAUGAGGGUGGUGGGGCUGGGGGUACCAGGAGGGAGGAGUUGAGUAUCUAAUAUCUAAGUAAAAUCCUGGAGCCAAGACCAAGACAUACUAAAAUAUUUCCUUUAGAACUACAUAGCAACUGAGUAGGUGAUUCAAUGACACCGGAAUGAGAGUAUGUUUAAGCAUAACCACCCACAGUACAUCAACAACACCAGUACGACACUGUUCAGUAGAUGCUUUCAG
Clupea harengus (Atlantic herring) is the source of this 2416-nucleotide long non-coding RNA. The record is from Ensembl. Lineage: Eukaryota; Metazoa; Chordata; Actinopteri; Clupeiformes; Clupeidae.